GACGAACGCUGGCGGCGUGCUUAACACAUGCAAGUCGAACGGAAAGGCCCUGCUUUUGUGGGGUGCUCGAUUGGCGAACGGGUGAGUAACACGUGAGUAACCUGCACUUGACUUUGGGAUAACUUCAGGGAACUGGGGCUCAUACCGGAUAGGAGCUCCUGCUGCAUGGGGGUGGUUGGAAAGAUUCGGCGGUGGGGGAUGGACUCGCGGGUUAUCAGCUUGUUGGUGGGGUAGUGGCUGACCAAGGUUUUGACGGGUAGCCGGCCUGAGAGGGUGACCGGCGACAUGGGGACUGAGAGACGGCGCAGACGCCUAUGGGAGGCAGCAGGGGGGAGUAUUGCACAAUGGGCGGACGUCUGAUGCAGCAGCGCCGCGUGCGGGAUGACGGGCUUCGGGGUGAAAACCACUUUCGCCUGAGACAAAGCGUGAGUGACGGUACUGGGUAAAGAAGCACCGGCUAACUACGUG
Molecule: ribosomal RNA, 468 nt
Filed under: uncultured bacterium
Lineage: Bacteria
Description: partial 16S ribosomal RNA
Rfam family: Bacterial small subunit ribosomal RNA
Source: RNAcentral